AGCUCCAAUAGCGUAUAUUAAAGUUGCUGCAGUUAAAAAGCUCGUAGUUGCAUUUCCGAGGCAAGGGAUUAGUCCGACCUUUGGUGGGUAUUUAAUCCUCUUGCCUCGUCCUUGAGUGGUGCUUCUUGGUAUUAAGUUAUCGAGGAGAUAGCCGCUCAUCGUUUACUGUGAGAAAAUUAGAGUGUUCAAAGCAGGCUUAUGCCGUUGAAUAUAUUAGCAUGGAAUAAUAAGAUAAGACCUCGGUACUAUUUUGUUGGUUUGAGAACCAAGGUAAUGAUGAAUAGGGACAGUUGGGGGUAUUCGUAUUCAGUUGUCAGAGGUGAAAUUCUUAGAUUUUCGGAAGACGAACUACUGCGAAAGCAUUUACCAAGGAUGUUUUCA
This 381-nucleotide ribosomal RNA is filed under the name uncultured marine Chaetocerotaceae. RNAcentral describes it as "SSU rRNA". It matches the Rfam family "Eukaryotic small subunit ribosomal RNA", at positions 587 to 972 of the family's 1831-position model. The record is from RNAcentral. Lineage: Eukaryota; Bacillariophyta; Thalassiosirophyceae; Chaetocerotales; Chaetocerotaceae.